RNAcentral lists this ribosomal RNA (250 nucleotides) under uncultured bacterium. RNAcentral's name for it is "partial 16S ribosomal RNA". It matches the Rfam family "Bacterial small subunit ribosomal RNA", at positions 524 to 773 of the family's 1533-position model. The record is from RNAcentral.
GACGGAGGGGGCAAGCGUUGUCCGGAAUCACUGGGCGUAAAGAGCACGUAGGUGGUCUGAUGCGUCGGCGCUGAAAACUCCAGGCUCAACCUGGAGACGCGUGCCGAUACGAUCGGACUAGAGGCAGGAAGAGGGUAGCGGAAUUCCGGGUGUAGUGGUGAAAUGCGUAGAGAUCCGGAGGAACGCCAGUGGCGCAAGCGGCUACCUGGUCCUGACCUGACACUGAGGUGCGAAAGCGUGGGGAGCGAAC